AGUAGUGUGGCCCAGUGGAAAGAGCACAGCCUGAGAGUCAGGAGACCUGGGUUCUAAUCCCGGCUCUACCA
RNAcentral lists this transfer RNA (71 nucleotides) under Ornithorhynchus anatinus (platypus). It matches the Rfam family "tRNA". From Rfam's summary of the family: Transfer RNA (tRNA) molecules are approximately 80 nucleotides in length. Their secondary structure includes four short double-helical elements and three loops (D, anti-codon, and T loops). The record is from Rfam by way of RNAcentral. Lineage: Eukaryota; Metazoa; Chordata; Mammalia; Monotremata; Ornithorhynchidae.